CUCAACCUCUCAGUCCCGUUAAUUGCACCAUCGAAUGACCCCACCGAAACCCAGACGAAAAACCCCCAAAUUUUACCCAUAAACCAAACUCAGUCCGCUGCCUCCUCCAGCUCAAAGGCGAAAGGCGUAGUUGUUUCUUUUCUCCUCUUAUUUUUGUAAUUUGAUCUGCAUAUUAUAAUUUGAUAACUUUUGGAAGGUUUGAAAAUUUGAAAGCAGAACUAUCUUGUGUGUUUUAACGAUUGAUUUACGAAUCCCUACAUCAUGAGUUUCAGUUUCCAGAUUAAUUAAUCAGUAUCUUGUGGAUUUUAACAGGUGCGAAAUCUCUAGUUGUUUGGACUCAGGUAAAUUUGGUGUCGAAACCACUUUUGAAUAUGUGUUUGUGAUUCUGUCGAAGCCACUCUUGGCCUCUCCUCCUUUUCAUUGUGAAGUUGGACUCUUCAAAGGUGACAUGUUUGAAUCAUUUUUAGGGUUCCAUUUGACAGCGCACUCGCACUAGCCCAAAUUUCUUUAUAAUUAGGGAGUCUGUGAAUCAUUUUGCAUUUCAAGGUAUGAACUUUGCCCUUAUUUACACUUGCACUAACCUUCAAUUGUCAUCAUAAAUUUGCCACAUUCUCCUAAUGCUUGAAUUCCUUGUUUUUUUUUUUCCUUCUUUUUGAAGUAGAUUAAUUAAUUAAUUAAUUAGUUAACGCAUUCAUUCAAAUGAAGGAUUGACGCAUUCUUUUACUGUUUAAGCUAAUUUUGAGUUAUUCCCUACCCUUUUACCCAUUUAUCUUGAUUAUUAAUGGUCAUCUAUCUCUAUGGUAGGUAUUAACUGCGGCAUUGUGAUUAAAUGUCAUCUUCUGCUUUCCUCGAAUUUACUAAUUCAUGACUCUUAGAUUCUCCUCAUUUUUUAUACUUCCUUGAGCUUGUGGAUGUAUCUUUUAAAAAUAUCCAUUACAAUUGUCUUAAUAUCUUGGAAAAAUUUGGUGUAGAGGAAUGGAAAAAGACUUGAAGAUGAGCUGCCCCUUGAAGCAAAUGGAGACUACACCAAGUCAAGGAGGAGGAGCUUAAUU
Molecule: long non-coding RNA, 1052 nt
Filed under: Prunus dulcis (almond)
Lineage: Eukaryota; Viridiplantae; Streptophyta; Magnoliopsida; Rosales; Rosaceae
Description: sRNA ncRNA
Source: RNAcentral